AGAUUGAACGCUGGCGGCAGGCCUAACACAUGCAAGUCGAGCGGCAGCACGGGUACUUGUACCUGGUGGCGAGCGGCGGACGGGUGAGUAAUGCCUAGGAAUCUGCCUGGUAGUGGGGGGAUAACGCUCGGAAACGGACGCUAAUACCGCAUACGUCCUACGGGAGAAAGCAGGGGACCUUCGGGCCUUGCGCUAUCAGAUGAGCCUAGGUCGGAUUAGCUAGUUGGUGAGGUAAUGGCUCACCAAGGCGACGAUCCGUAACUGGUCUGAGAGGAUGAUCAAGUCACACUGGAACUGAGACACGGUCCAAGACUCCGUACGGGAGGCAGCAAGGUGGGGAAUAUUGGACAAGUGGGACGAAAGCCUGAUCCAGCCAUCGCGACGUGUGUAGAAGAAGGUUCUUACGGAUUAGUAAAGCUAACGUUUAAGUUGGGAAGGAAGGCUAGUUAACCUAAGUACGUAAUCGUUGUUUUAGACCGUUAACCGACUAAGAAACUAAGACCAACCGGACUUAAACGUCGUAGUCGA
This 528-nucleotide ribosomal RNA is filed under the name uncultured soil bacterium. RNAcentral's name for it is "bacterial SSU rRNA". It matches the Rfam family "Bacterial small subunit ribosomal RNA", at positions 26 to 537 of the family's 1533-position model. The record is from RNAcentral.